This 484-nucleotide ribosomal RNA is filed under the name uncultured bacterium. RNAcentral's name for it is "bacterial SSU rRNA". It matches the Rfam family "Bacterial small subunit ribosomal RNA", at positions 30 to 507 of the family's 1533-position model. The record is from RNAcentral.
AUUGAACGCUGGCGNCNUUNCUUACACAUGCAAGUCGAACGGCAGCACGGGAGCAAUCCUGGUGGCGAGUGGCGAACGGGUGAGUAAUGUAUCGGAACGUGCCCAGUCGUGGGGGAUAACGUAGCGAAAGCUACGCUAAUACCGCAUACGAUCUACGGAUGAAAGCGGGGGAUCGCAAGACCUCGCGCGGACGGAGCGGCCGAUGGCAGAUUAGGUAGUUGGUGGGAUAAAAGCUUACCAAGCCGACGAUCUGUAGCUGGUCUGAGGGGACGACCAGCCACACUGGGACUGAGACACGGCCCAGACUCCUACGGGAGGCAGCAGUGGGGAAUUUUGGACAAUGGGCGCAAGCCUGAUCCAGCAAUGCCGCGUGCAGGAUGAAGGCCUUCGGGUUGUAAACUGCUUUUGUACGGAGCGAAAAGGCUCUCUCUAAUACAGGGGGCUCAUGACGGUACCGUAAGAAUAAGCACCGGCUAACUACGUG